This 609-nucleotide ribosomal RNA is filed under the name uncultured bacterium. RNAcentral describes it as "bacterial SSU rRNA". The stretch from base 1 to 518 matches the Rfam family "Bacterial small subunit ribosomal RNA", at positions 338 to 873 of the family's 1533-position model. The record is from RNAcentral.
CCUACGGGAGGCAGCAGUGGGGAAUAUUGGACAAUGGGCGAAAGCCUGAUCCAGCAAUGCCGCGUGAGUGAUGAAGGCCUUAGGGUUGUAAAGCUCUUUUACCAGGGAUGAUAAUGACAGUACCUGGAGAAUAAGCUCCGGCUAACUCCGUGCCAGCAGCCGCGGUAAUACGGAGGGAGCUAGCGUUGUUCGGAAUUACUGGGCGUAAAGCGCGCGUAGGCGGCGAUUCAAGUCAGAGGUGAAAGCCCGGGGCUCAACCCCGGAACUGCCUUUGAAACUAGAUUGCUAGAAUCUUGGAGAGGUCAGUGGAAUUCCGAGUGUAGAGGUGAAAUUCGUAGAUAUUCGGAAGAACACCAGUGGCGAAGGCGACUGACUGGACAAGUAUUGACGCUGAGGUGCGAAAGCGUGGGGAGCAAACAGGAUUAGAUACCCAGGUAGUCCACGCCGUAAACGAUGAUAACUAGCUGUCCGGGCACUUGGUGCUUGGGUGGCGCNGCUACGACAUUAAGUUAUCCGUCCGUCGGGAGGUACGGUCGCGAGAAGUUAAACUAACUAAUAGUAAGUUAGACGUCGUUGAGACGUUGCCGACGGCGACGACGAGGGAGGAGG